CCCCAUCUUUUAAUUUGCAGUCAGACUGGCAAGAGCAAAAAAGCUUUAGGAGUAACACAUUUAAUCCCUUUGGGAUUUCUCUAUAGUCUUCAGAUUAAUAGCGGGACAGAGACAAAAGGCCUUUUUUCACCUGCUGUUUCCUGUUCUGUCUGGCUGCAUGUCUCCAGGCCCUGGCUCUCUCCGACAGCGUCUCUCAUGCCUCCUACAGACUUGCAUCGAAAAGCUCCUUGUAUUAGCAUUGUGAUGAGGAUAUACCGUCGGAUAGCUGCUGAAUUUGAUAAACUCUGAGUGUGGUGCAAUAUAAAGGAAUGAGGCUGUAACUUCCUGAGGUCUUUGUUGGUGCAGUUGAAACAAAUGGAGAAAGUCAUGUAAUGUUUUGGGGGGCAAUGAGCUGAAUCAGCCUCUGUUAGACGGCCUGGCCGGAGGAUGGAUGGAAGAGGACUUCUGGAUGCUGGUGGGCUGGGUUCAACUCCGAACUGAGAGGAUUUGAAGCCGUGUUUUGUUCCAGUAAGGUCCGAUCCCAGUAGAAAGAAAGUCACAGAUUUGGGACAACAUGAGGAAGGUCAGAUGCUCAUAGAAGAGCAGCUCGUGCACGGGUGGAGCAGAAGGAGAGAAGGAAUGGAGUUAAAUUAAGGAUAUCAUUGGACUGACAGUGAUCUGGGCAGCUCUCGAUAAGAUCCUCGGCUCUGCGGAGCGCCAGACGACGUGAGAAGGUCUGGCGGCGGGAUGGGGAGGGGGAAGGGGAAGGGGGCAGUUAAAAGUUUUCCGAGCCGUCUUCCCCCUUCAAUUUGCAUGCUUAAUGAUGCUGAGCAGGAGUUAAUAGUGGGUGUAAUGGCUUCUGACUGACCGGGCUCUGGAGUGGACCACAGGCUGGGCCACCGGAGCAGGGGUGGGGAGGGGUUAACGCACACCAUACGGCUCUGCACUCGCUCG
Cyprinus carpio carpio is the source of this 933-nucleotide long non-coding RNA. NCBI's taxonomy places the organism in Eukaryota, Metazoa, Chordata, Actinopteri, Cypriniformes, Cyprinidae. The record is from Ensembl.